This 254-nucleotide unclassified non-coding RNA is filed under the name Patescibacteria group bacterium. RNAcentral's name for it is "contains 16S-23S intergenic spacer region". It matches the Rfam family "Bacterial small subunit ribosomal RNA", at positions 524 to 776 of the family's 1533-position model. The record is from RNAcentral.
UACGUAGGAUCCAAGCGUUAUCCGGAAUUACUGGGCGUAAAGCGUGCGUAGGUGGACUGUUAAGUGAGAUGCGAAAUCCUGUGGCUCAACCAUAUGGACUGUAUCUCAUACUGGCAAUCUAGAGGACGGCAGAGGCAAGUGGAAUUACUGGUGUAGCAGUGAAAUGCGUAGAUAUCAGUAGGAACACCAAUGGCGAAGGCAGCUUGCUGGGCCGACCCUGACACUGAGGCACGAAAGCGUGGGGAGCGAACAGG